UCGGGUAAUAAAAGCCAAGGAUCGAAGAGUUAUCUGCAGUAGAAAACUCGGCCUUGACUUGAAAACAUCUGCAAACAGUGCUUUCAAUUUUAAAUUUCAGGAUGUGUACAAAGGUUCUUUGUAUUUUGAUACUUGGACUUGGAGCAGUUUUAGCUCAGGAUGAUGCUCCUCCGGCAGAUACUGCUCCGCCAGCGGCUGCUGCUCCGCCGGCAGCUGCUGCUCCGCCGGCAGCUGCUCCACCGCCAGCGAAUGAUGCAGCAGCGGAUACAGCGGAGGCUGACGAUGCAGCACCAGCAGCGGAAGGGGCGGACGGAGAUGCGGCGGAAGAUAGCGCGGCGGACGAUUGUGAGGAAUCUUGGGAAUAUAUUCAGUUCCUAAGAGAAGAAGUAAAUGAUAAAGUUGAGGAACUACUGCGUGGAUUAAGGGAUGCUAAGGAUCAGAAAGGAUCCGUCGCAAUCCUUGAGGAUACUGUGUCUAAGACUAUGAAGAAGGUUUUAGAAGUGAGAGAGGUGGUUUUGGAUCGAAUUUUUAAACUCCGUAAAUCUGAGAUUGCAACCUGCCCUGAUCAGAAUAUAAAACAAGAGGAGAAUCUUACUAACAUUAGGAUGGAUAUCAUGAGUAUUUUACUUAAACUUGUAGAAAGAGACGCUGCCAGUGUUGAAAAGCUGAAGGAAGUGAGAGACGACCUCCUUGAACUAAGGAUGAAGGUCAACAACGAGGUCAUGAGGGUCAUGAUGCUGCCUCAGGGCCGAGUUGCUAAGAAGGUUGAGGAAGGAGAUUGUGAGGAAUGUGAACUUCUUGAUGGACUCAGUGAAAAGAUUAACAAAUUGAUAAUGUGUGCUGACAUGGAAGAAGGAGAAACAGAAGAAGAUGGAGGAGAAGGAGAUGAAGGAGAAGGAAGUGGAGCAGGAGGAGAAGGAGGAGAAUGUAUGCCACCAAACAUGUAUUUUAUGGAGCUUAUGGACUGCAACAGGAAAAUUGACGAUGAAACCGAAAGACUGUUUCCCUCUUUGUUCGCAACCUUUGACGAAGCUGAACGCCUGAUUGUGGAAACUAAACUAAACAAUCUCAAGGCCAUCAGAGAGGAAAUAGAGGAUGUGAUUACUAAGCUGUCUAAAACUAAGGAUGAGGAUAAACUAAAGAAGACGACCUCUAGAUCUCUAGCACCCAUCAGUAAUAAACUACAAGAACUGGUUAAAGAAUGCAAGGCUGGCUGUGGACCAGAGGGCUGUGACUCCUGCGGUGCUGAGGUUCUUUAUGAAAUGAUGGAGAAAAUGAAUUACUAUCUACAGAUCUACAAUGCUACAGAAGAUGGUAGAGAACCAGUAGAGCAGAACGAGGAGGUGCGAAGGGACCUGAUGAAGUACAUCUCCACCACUAGCGAGGACAGCACCAAGAUUCUCCAGAAGAAGAUCGAGGGAACAAUGGAUGAUUGUGAUCAACAAAAGAUGGAUGUUUAUAACAAGACAAAGAACCCAAUGUGGAUGAUGGUAAAUACAACAAUAUUCACCGAAGGUAUUGAAGAGCCCCAGGUUAUGGUUGAGACAAUGGUGGAGAUGCUAAAACAACUUCUUCAGGAGUACUGCUCCGGUGAGGAGGUUGCCCCCAGGGCGGAGAAGGACGGGCCGAGCUGUGAGUGGGAGGAGUAUGAGCAGACCGGGGAGUACAUAAACAAGAUUGACGAGAUUAUCCAGGGAUCUUUGUUCAAACCUAAAGAAGAUACAGCUAAGAGGGAUGCUCAGCUUGGAUUUGUGGAGAUUAGAAUGAUGCUAGACAAACGUGUUGAGAAAUUGUUCCAGGAUAAUAUGGUUUGCCCUGAUGAAGCCACAACUAUUAAGAAAGAAUGGAUGGGUGAGUUGAACCGUUGUAUGGCUGUGUUUAUGAACUCCAAGCUCAAGUUUACGGAGAUGACAAGGUUGGAGAGGUUGGAGUGUACGAAGACUCUCCGGGCUAGUAUGGAGAAGAGAAGAUCCGACCUACUCACUUCAGAACUAGAGAAAUCCAUUGAUCAGAUCGGAGAAACUUCUGCAAGGGAAGGUCAGAUUGAAAUGGAAGGAGUUGGGUACAGAUAGGGAUGCCGAGGGACAAGCUUCUGAAAAUCCAGCUUCAGAGGCUCCACAAGCUUAGGAAAGCUUGAGACAGAUUUGUUAUCUGAGCCCCCGAAACUAUAAAUGUAUCCUGAAGAUUAAAAUUAAAUAAGAUUUUAUGUAAUUAUUAAGAAUUUUCAUCAUAAGUUUCUUUUCUAGUUACGGUUUUUGUUUUAUAUUCAAAAAGCAUUUACGCGCCAUUUUUGAAAGAUGAAAUUAGAUCUUCUAGUUAAUACAGUGUGUCCCUCUUAACCUGAAAAUUAAAAGACGACCAAUUUUGAUGUCAAAUAUCCAGUCCUGGUUAAUAUCCAGUCCUGGUUAAUAUCCAGUCCUGGUUAAUAUCCAGUCCUGGUUAAUAUCCAGUCCUGGUUAAUAUUGUCCUUCAAAAUGGUGAAUUGACCUUAACUUUAGUUUUAAGUCAUACAUGUUUAAAAUCUUACUAUGUUGUCUAUAAAUUGUCAUGUUUAUUGUGACACCCUGUAUCUCCAGUAAAUUGUCAUGUUUAUUGUGACACCCUGUAUCUCCAGUUGGGCAUUACCGUCAACUUUCUAGAGCUUUCUGUAACUGCCAUUUAUAUAUUCUUACAGCUGUCAUAGAUUUAAGAAAUAACUGACUUUUGUCAGAUUACAGUUUUCAACACAGUUUAACCCAGAAACUUUGAGACUUUGAAAGAAUUUAUUAAAUGUCGUCUUUUUUAAUAGGAUUAUACUUAUAAACCUAAAUUUCAAUAAUUGUAGAAAUGAAUAAUUAGCUAUGAAUUGUGUGGGAAAAGUUUUAAUGAGCUCCAAAUAAUUAUUCAAUUAGAAAACUAAAUAUCCGCAACAUUUUUGAAAUAAAUUCGAUGCCUCCAAAGAUCUGGGUUAAAGUGUACACACUUCACCAUUUUACUCUUAACUGCCAUAUUGCUCAUGUGACUUGUUUAUCAAUGUAUUUAGUUUGUAAACCCUAGGUUAAGGUAUUUUUAAAUUCUCAUGAUGGACCUGAAAUAAAUACUAAAAUAAACCA
This 3092-nucleotide unclassified non-coding RNA is filed under the name Eurytemora carolleeae. RNAcentral's name for it is "uncharacterized LOC111705616". Lineage: Eukaryota; Metazoa; Arthropoda; Copepoda; Calanoida; Temoridae. The record is from RNAcentral.